UGUCGGCGGGUCGAGGACGGGGGCUGUAGUCGGUCCAGAGGGGUGGGCGGUGCGCCCAUGAGAGCGUCACGCGAGCUGGGUUCAGAACGUCGUGAGCCAGUUCGGUCCCUCUCCGGCGCGGGGGCAGGAAAUUUGAGAGGAGCUGUGCUUGGUGCGAGAGGACCGGGAUGGACACACCGCUGGUGUACCAGUUGUUCCGCCAGGAGCAUCGCGGGGUAGCUAUGUGUGGCAGGGAUAAACGCGGAAAGCAUAUAAGCGUGAAGCCCCCCUCAAGAUGAGGUUUCCCAUUUCUUCGGAAAGUAAGAUCCCUGAAAGAUGAUCAGGUAGAUAGGUUUGGAGUGGAAGUGUAGCGA
This 353-nucleotide ribosomal RNA is filed under the name Listeria monocytogenes. Its description in RNAcentral is "bacterial LSU rRNA". It matches the Rfam family "Bacterial large subunit ribosomal RNA", at positions 2530 to 2881 of the family's 2925-position model. Lineage: Bacteria; Bacillati; Bacillota; Bacilli; Caryophanales; Listeriaceae. The record is from RNAcentral.